RNAcentral lists this long non-coding RNA (1039 nucleotides) under Marmota monax (woodchuck). The record is from RNAcentral. Lineage: Eukaryota; Metazoa; Chordata; Mammalia; Rodentia; Sciuridae.
CUCAGAUUCGGAUUGGAGCUCUUGGGGAGGCUGUUGAAUUUGUCCUGAGUUUCCUACUAGAGAUGCUGAAUGGCUAGGCCUGUCUAAUUGGUUAGUGCCGUCCGGAAGGGCUCGGGGAUCUGGGCUUCUCGACAGUUUGGUUAGGAGGACCGUGACUCACGAAUCACGUGCGCCAGGACCCAGGGUGGAAGGCUGCACACGGAUCUUGUGGAGUUCCCUGCGCAGCUCGAGACAUUGUAAAUGCGGUUUGUUGACAGGAGUGUCAGUAUCCGAAUGGAGUUAGAAGAAGUAGGUGGAAGUUGGGAAGGAAUAGUGGAUUUAAAGGGAAUUUUUGACAUUUAGUUUAGCAAUGUAUUCAGCCUUUCUAGAUCUUAAAAAAAAAUUGAGGCACGAUUCAUUACAUAUGCGCUUAAAGUGUACAAUUCUGUAGUUUUUAGUAUAUGCUCAAGGUAGUGCAACCAUCACCGAAUUCUUAUUACAGAACAUUCUCAUCACUCAAAAAGAACCUAGAAGCUAGUUAGCAGAGACGUACCUGAGAUUACAGGCAUGCAUCACUGUGUCUGACUUGAUUUCGCAUCACCCUUCUACAGUUCUUGUCUAUGAAAUUACCAGCCAUGUAUACACAUAUACACAUAUAUGUAUGUGUGUAUAUAUAUAUAUAUGUGUGUGUGUGUAUAUAUAUAUGGAAUCAUACAAGAUUUGUCUUUUCCUGUAUGGUUUAUUUCAUGUAGCAUAUUUUCAAUACUUUUUGUAUUUUGCAUGUAUCAGGACUUCAUUCUUUUUUUAUGAACUAAUAAUCAGUUGUAUGGAUAUACCACAUUUUGUUUCUCCCUUAGCUGAUGGACAUUGGUGGUUUCAUAGACUUUUAAGGUCUUUAAUUCCCCCACAGAACUAGCAUUCGCAGGCACAAACAUUUUAAGCUUAAGUUCUCAAAAACCAUCGUUUGACUCUGGUUUUGGGUCAGGCAUUUCAGUGGCCACAGGUUUGUGUCUUUUAGAGCAGUUUGUUUUUUUUAAAAGCCUUAUAUUCCCAGUUCAUC